This 450-nucleotide ribosomal RNA is filed under the name uncultured bacterium. RNAcentral's name for it is "partial 16S ribosomal RNA". It matches the Rfam family "Bacterial small subunit ribosomal RNA", at positions 354 to 796 of the family's 1533-position model. The record is from RNAcentral.
GUGGGGAAUAUUGGACAAUGGGCGAAAGCCUGAUCCAGCCAUGCCGCGUGUGUGAAGAAGGUCUUCGGAUUGUAAAGCACUUUAAGUUGGGAGGAAGGGUAGUAACCUAAUACGUUGCUACUUUGACGUUACCGACAGAAUAAGCACCGGCUAACUUCGUGCCAGCAGCCGCGGUAAUACGAAGGGUGCAAGCGUUAAUCGGAAUUACUGGGCGUAAAGCGCGCGUAGGUGGUUCAGUAAGUUGGAAGUGAAAUCCCCGGGCUCAACCUGGGAACUGCUUUCAAAACUGCUGAGCUAGAGUACGGUAGAGGGUGGUGGAAUUUCCUGUGUAGCGGUGAAAUGCGUAGAUAUAGGAAGGAACACCAGUGGCGAAGGCGACUACCUGGACUGAUACUGACACUGAGGUGCGAAAGCGUGGGGAGCAAACAGGAUUAGAAACCCCAGUAGUCC